GAAUAUGAAGCGAUAAAUUGCAAUUAGUUUCGACCUAAUCUUAGAUGUCCUCAUCCUUAUUCU
This 63-nucleotide transfer RNA is filed under the name Dolichopus ungulatus. RNAcentral's name for it is "tRNA-Arg". The record is from RNAcentral. Lineage: Eukaryota; Metazoa; Arthropoda; Insecta; Diptera; Dolichopodidae.